GCAGUCGUAACAAAGUGCAUAAUCUAGAUGGUUUAAUGUCAGCUGAGUCACCCAAUUAGUUGAAGUAAUAUGAUCCUCUAGACUGUUUUGCUGUGAGUGCUACUUAUUAGUGGAUUCCAUGUGAUUACAAUUUGAUUAUCUAUAAAUGGCUACAUAUCUGACAAUACUGUAAAUAUUUGUUGCUUGCCUUGUUUAAAGGUAAAUAUUUGUUGCUUGCCGUACAUGUAUUUUCUUGCUACAUUCAUGAUUUAAUCCAUAAAUUGUUUUAAUGGUUUAUAGGUAGCUUCUUUGAGCCUUUUUUUU
RNAcentral lists this long non-coding RNA (303 nucleotides) under Brachypodium distachyon (stiff brome). Its description in RNAcentral is "long non-coding RNA (BDIS_LNC002561)". Lineage: Eukaryota; Viridiplantae; Streptophyta; Magnoliopsida; Poales; Poaceae. The record is from RNAcentral.